RNAcentral lists this ribosomal RNA (465 nucleotides) under Vreelandella stevensii. Its description in RNAcentral is "partial 16S ribosomal RNA". It matches the Rfam family "Bacterial small subunit ribosomal RNA", at positions 338 to 795 of the family's 1533-position model. Lineage: Bacteria; Pseudomonadati; Pseudomonadota; Gammaproteobacteria; Oceanospirillales; Halomonadaceae. The record is from RNAcentral.
CCUACGGGAGGCAGCAGUGGGGAAUAUUGGACAAUGGGGGCAACCCUGAUCCAGCCAUGCCGCGUGUGUGAAGAAGGCCCUCGGGUUGUAAAGCACUUUCAGUGAGGAAGAACGCCUGGUGGUUAAUACCCAUCAGGAAAGACAUCACUCACAGAAGAAGCACCGGGUAACUCCGUGCCAGCAGCCGCGGUAAUACGGAGGGUGCGAGCGUUAAUCGGAAUUACUGGGCGUAAAGCGCGCGUAGGUGGCUUGAUAAGCCGGUUGUGAAAGCCCCGGGCUCAACCUGGGAACGGCAUCCGGAACUGUCAAGCUAGAGUGCAGGAGAGGAAGGUAGAAUUCCCGGUGUAGCGGUGAAAUGCGUAGAGAUCGGGAGGAAUACCAGUGGCGAAGGCGGCCUUCUGGACUGACACUGACACUGAGGUGCGAAAGCGUGGGUAGCAAACAGGAUUAGAUACCCCGGUAGUC